CCCUUAGAUGUUCUGGGCCACACGCGCGCUACACUGAUGCAUUCAACGAGUGUACCUUGGCCGAGAGGCCUGGGCAAUCUUUUGAACGUGCAUCGUGAUAGGGAUAGAUUAUUGCAAUUAUUAAUCUUGAACGAGGAAUUCCUAGUAAACGCAGAUCAUCAAUCUGCAUUGAUUACGUCCCUGCCCUUUGUACACACCGCCCGUCGCACCUACCGAUUGGAUGGUCCGGUGAAGCCUCGGGAUUGUGGCGGUUGCCUUUAUUGGUGGCCGCCGCGAGAACUUGUCUAAACCUUAUCAUCUAGAGGAAGGUGAAGUCGUAACA
This 322-nucleotide ribosomal RNA is filed under the name uncultured eukaryote. RNAcentral's name for it is "partial 18S ribosomal RNA". It matches the Rfam family "Eukaryotic small subunit ribosomal RNA", at positions 1470 to 1796 of the family's 1831-position model. The record is from RNAcentral.